This 254-nucleotide ribosomal RNA is filed under the name uncultured bacterium. Its description in RNAcentral is "partial 16S ribosomal RNA". It matches the Rfam family "Bacterial small subunit ribosomal RNA", at positions 524 to 776 of the family's 1533-position model. The record is from RNAcentral.
UACGUAGGGUGCAAGCGUUGUCCGGAAUUAUUGGGCGUAAAGAGCUCGUAGGCGGUCUGUCGCGUCGGAUGUGAAAAUCAGGGCUCAACCCUGGACCUGCAUUCGAUACGGGCAGACUAGAGUUCGGUAGGGGAGACUGGAAUUCCUGGUGUAGCGGUGAAAUGCGCAGAUAUCAGGAGGAACACCGGUGGCGAAGGCGGGUCUCGUGGGCCGAUGACUGACGCUGAGGAGCGAAAGCGUGGGGAGCGAACAGG